AUCUAUCAAGAUUCGUUGCAAAAUUUUAAAAUUGCAUGCAUAGUACUGUCUACUCUUCCUUCAAUUGGUAUCAGAGCCUGAUUCAAUAUGAUAUGAUUUUAUAUAUAUUUAGAUCUGAUUUUAUGUUAUUUAGAUUAGUUAUAAAUAAGUUUUAUUUUCAGAUCUGAUAUUUGAUUAGCCCUGUAUAUGUUAGAUUAGAUGAUUUGAGUAGCAAAGUACUCAGAUUGGGUAAUACCAGGCCAUCUGAUCAUAGGAGCAAGUAGGAUUACA
RNAcentral lists this long non-coding RNA (270 nucleotides) under Elaeis guineensis (African oil palm). RNAcentral describes it as "long non-coding RNA (EGUI_LNC056830)". The record is from RNAcentral. Lineage: Eukaryota; Viridiplantae; Streptophyta; Magnoliopsida; Arecales; Arecaceae.